This 550-nucleotide ribosomal RNA is filed under the name uncultured Gammaproteobacteria bacterium. RNAcentral describes it as "bacterial SSU rRNA". It matches the Rfam family "Bacterial small subunit ribosomal RNA", at positions 355 to 896 of the family's 1533-position model. The record is from RNAcentral. Lineage: Bacteria; Pseudomonadati; Pseudomonadota; Gammaproteobacteria.
UGGGGAAUAUUGCACAAUGGGGGAAACCCUGAUGCAGCCAUGCCGCGUGUGUGAAGAAGGCCUUCGGGUUGUAAAGCACUUUCAGUGGUGAGGAAGGCUAUCGUGUUAAUAGCACGGUAGAUUGACGUUAGCCACAGAAGAAGCACCGGCUAACUCCGUGCCAGCAGCCGCGGUAAUACGGAGGGUGCGAGCGUUAAUCGGAAUUACUGGGCGUAAAGCGUACGUAGGCGGCUCAUUAAGCAAGAUGUGAAAGCCCCGGGCUCAACCUGGGAAUGGCAUUUUGAACUGGUGAGCUCGAGUUUUGAAGAGGGUGGUAGAAUUUCCAGUGUAGCGGUGAAAUGCGUAGAUAUUGGAAGGAAUACCAGUGGCGAAGGCGGCCACCUGGUCAAGAACUGACGCUGAGGUACGAAAGCGUGGGGAGCAAACAGGAUUAGAUACCCUGGUAGUCCACGCCGUAAACGAUGUCAACUAGUUGUUCGUUUCAUAAACGAAGUGAGUAACGCAGCUAACGCACUAAGUUGACCGCCUGGGGAGUACGGCCGCAAGGUUA